GCAGCGGUGGUGCGUGCGUGCUCCGUGGGAUAUGAUGUAACACGAAUCGCUCCCUAGAUUUCGUUUGCUGAAGUCCUGAGCUCAAAAUCCAACCAAAGCCACAGAUGCAGGGCAUGCAGGACAGAGAUGCUUGGUGGUUAACUCUCGUGCUACUGGACUGAAUUCUCUGUCAGGCACCCCUCACUCUGUGGAGAGGUUAGGUGAAUGACCCAAGAACAGGCUGGACUUGCCUGGAGCAGAGUAUUGUAAAGAAUACACGCUGGACAGCAGUUAAAGUUUUUGGCUUCACUUGUUAUAGUGGCUGUAUCCAUAAAUUCAUCUGCUGGAUGGGGAGCAGAGAGGGGUAAAGAGAGAGGGACACAGCCUACCCUCUUACUGAAUGAAGCUCUCAAGUCAGUGGAACCUGAGAAAAGAAGAUUGUAAGCACAAUGAAACAGCAACUUGGUAAACUGAAAAAUGUUUGCUAUUCAUGGAAUGUGCUUGCCAAGUUAAUAAUUAUCAAUCACGUUUCUGGCUGAUGAAACUUAAAAAUGGUAUGUUAGCAGUAUGAUAAGUUUAAAUGAGUCUUUUCUCCGGAGUCAGGUGUAUGAAUGGUAUUAUGUGCAUUCCUUUGUCUGAGUCUCUUGCAUUCAUAAUAAAAACAACCCCAUCACUGUACAGCAGCCCUCAAGUGUUUGUAUACCAGAUUGUGAGAUGAAGCUCAUAUACAGUAGCUCAUGGAUCUUAGGGUCACAACAAAUACAGUAAAAACAGAGAAAUUGUAACACUAGCUUACUCGCUUGGUCCAGAACAGAAUCCUUAACAAAACUCCUCUAAUAAAAACAAAAUUGAUCUUCCAGCUUGAAAAUAAGGCCAAUGAGAACAGGAAGAGUGUAACUGCAUAUAUACUGCAAUGGAAAACACCAACCUCAGGAACAGUUCAAGAGAAAAACCCCACUCUUAAAAAUAUUUGGCAAAAUAUGGGGAUGCAAUUCAAGGAGAAAAACACCAUAAUUUAUUGAUUCAUGUGAAGGUGCAUUUAAUUGUGUGCUUUCAAUGGAAGGCAGAAUGCUUUUUGUCAC
Lepisosteus oculatus (spotted gar) is the source of this 1061-nucleotide long non-coding RNA. RefSeq lists it as uncharacterized. The record is from RefSeq and is a predicted model, not a curated record. Lineage: Eukaryota; Metazoa; Chordata; Actinopteri; Semionotiformes; Lepisosteidae.